GAGCAAGCGUUGUUCGGAUUUACUGGGCGUAAAGGGCGCGUAGGCGGUCAGCACAAGUCAGUUGUGAAAUCUCCGGGCUUAACUCGGAAAGGUCAACUGAUACUGUGCGACUAGAGUGCGGAAGGGGCAACUGGAAUUCUCGGUGUAGCGGUGAAAUGCGUAGAUAUCGAGAGGAACACCUGCGGCGAAGGCGGGUUGCUGGGCCGACACUGACGCUGAGGCGCGAAAGCCAGGGGAGCGAACGGG
RNAcentral lists this ribosomal RNA (246 nucleotides) under uncultured bacterium. RNAcentral describes it as "partial 16S ribosomal RNA". It matches the Rfam family "Bacterial small subunit ribosomal RNA", at positions 532 to 776 of the family's 1533-position model. The record is from RNAcentral.